AUGUGAUGGUGAGGACAUUUCCUAAACAAUUCAUUGAAGCGUUCCCAUGCCUCAUGGAAAGUUUCUCCCUCCCCAUGUAUGAAUUCCCUAAUUGCGGUUAUCAUAGCAU
Molecule: small nucleolar RNA, 109 nt
Organism: Cornus florida
Lineage: Eukaryota; Viridiplantae; Streptophyta; Magnoliopsida; Cornales; Cornaceae
Source: RefSeq, a predicted model, not a curated record